UUGUGGUCGUCCAACAUCAGCCUGAGAAUCAGAGAUUGUGUGUUUAUUGUCUUUGGUCUGAACACAAACUUACUUAGCAGACAGCAGAUGUGUGACGUGGUGAAAGUUGAGCUGCAGUUUUAGGAAGAACUUUAGUGUCGACUUUACUUCUGAUUUGACUCAGACUGUCCUGGUAUUUGACCAUCUUCUAGUUUUUACCCACAAAAUCCUGAAGUUUCUCAAUUUGAAGUCAGAAGAACAAACACACACAAAUGGGGGCGGAGCUCUGUUCAGGUGUUCCUGGAUGAGGAAAUGAGGAAGUUGAGAGUUUCCCUCUGUGUCACAACAGACGGAGCAGGUGGAGACGGAGGCUCCAACGUUCUUCUUCCUUUACGGUUUCUAUCAGGAAACAACCGAGCCCGGGUCCCCAGCAGCCCUGCUGUCCCACUAUGAUCACUCGCGUCCUGCCCAGAUCCCAGGUGAAGGCUGGAAGAAGGUGUGUGUGAGCUGAUCCAGUGGAUCCAGCAGCAUGGAUCAGU
Long non-coding RNA from Oryzias melastigma (Indian medaka), 518 nucleotides. RefSeq lists it as uncharacterized. The transcript has 3 exons. The record is from RefSeq and is a predicted model, not a curated record. Lineage: Eukaryota; Metazoa; Chordata; Actinopteri; Beloniformes; Adrianichthyidae.